RNAcentral lists this long non-coding RNA (2550 nucleotides) under Canis lupus familiaris (dog). Its description in RNAcentral is "lncRNA (ENSCAFG00040017264.1)". The record is from RNAcentral. Lineage: Eukaryota; Metazoa; Chordata; Mammalia; Carnivora; Canidae.
AUGGACCUGAACCUACUGACCUCUACUCACCUGCCUCCUUUCAUCCCUUCCAGGUUUGCAGUAAGCAUUGGCUACUGGCAAGACCCUCACAUCCAGCAUUUUGCAAGACUGUCUAAGGAGAGAAGGCUCCCGAAAUUAACAGAGGUUAUUUUGCUCGAGUCCAUGGCGUCAGUCAGCUUAUCAAGGCAUUUCUACGGAAGACAGAAUGUCACUGUCAGAUUCCUAAUCUUGGGGCUGGCGUGGAUAGCACCUUCUGGAGAUUAAAGGUAAAUUAAAACUCCCCUUCUUAUUUGCCAAAUUGUUUUGUUUUGUGAAGGUGCCUGCGUGGCUCAGGAAUGUUAAAAAUAUAUUCAGAGGGAAUCCAGUGACCAGGGCUGCCUGUCUCUCGCUCCAUCACCAGCUGCUUGCAGCUGCUGCCACCAUCAGCCGCCUACGUGAUGUCUCUAGGGCCAUAGUGGAGGAUGUGCGCCUUGCUUGUCAUUCUUUGGUGUUAGAAACAGGGCUUAUGAUCACACUCCUCCUAUACAUUUCGUGUGCACGUGUGGAAGAACCCUGCCUGUGGAAUUGCUGAGACUGACAGCCCAUGCAUUGGCCAUCUUGACAGUAACUGAGAUUUUAUUGUCAUCAAGACAGUGUGUUCGGUACAGUUUGGAGAUGAGCGAGGCUGGGUGAAGGUACUAUGACAGAAAGCCCUUUUGUAGCUAUUCCCUGAUGUGAUCCCCCACCUGCUGUGUUAGGGAUCAAGAACAGGUAUCAUUACACUCACUCACAGGAAAGGGGACGGUCCCAUUAGUGGCAGAACCAGGACCGAGCACUGGUCUUUGAUUCCCGGCUAGAAUCAUAGCUGCCCACCUUUUCCCUCUGACACCUUCACCGAUUGCACCUGCCUUUUUGUAGGUUCGUACGGAUUUUUCUCAGUUCUUCUAUCAGGUCCGUCACGUGGCAGUGAUGGGUACGUGCGUUUCCCCAGGUUUCUUGCAGGCGUACACCAAGAAAAAUCAGUGUGUGGGCCUAACAGCACCCGCAUAGGCAUUUUGUCCCUAAUCAGUUCACCUGAUAAGGAAGUCUUUGGUCGUGAGUGCGCCCGACCUUUCUGCUAUUCAGGCGAGAACCCAGCAGCCUCAGCACAGCCGGAGUAUUCAUUGUUUGCCUCUGCACUAUUCAUUCAGGAUAAGAUAGCUAACAUUUAUGAAGUGCUUGCACAUACGCGACCUCAUGAAUUAACGUGAGAGCUCUGGGGUGGAAGGGUUAGAGAUCGGGAAAGGGGGUGCUGCAGGAGCCUGUGUCUUCCCCAGAUUGGGCGGCCAGUGGUGUUGAUGCCUGGAACAAACUGUGGACUACAGCUCCGCCACGUCCAGGCUCGGCUCCUGUUCUCUGCACGGAGCCCUGUGGUUGUUCGGUGGGGAGUCUUUGCCGUUCGUGGGGCAGUGGUGCCUGUGUACCUCAGAGACCAUGCUGUGGGGGAAGGAACUGGGACAAAGCACAGUGGCAGAAUGUGGACCGUGGUAACAGAAGCCACUGGAGAAACGCCUCCUUCGGGCCUGACACCCUUUUGACCUGAUCUCGUGAUUUGGUUUCUCCCCCUCUGUCAUGUAGGUGUGUUAGUAAUUAAUAAAUCUGAGAGUUUUAUUUCUAAGCAAGGUACGCUGAGACUAGGUACCCCUUCCAAGAAAAAGGUUCUCUGUCAGGAGUGAGGGAGGUGAAUAACACAGGGAGGGUCUGGAAGAUUUUGCGAAUUUUUUGUUUUGUUUGAUAAGUAUAUUGGUCCAAAGAAUUUUUAACAAGUCAAAGUUUGUGGGUUUUUUGUUUUUGAAAUUGUAUUUAUUUAUUCAUGAGAGACACAGGGAGAGGGAGAGAGACAGGGUCCCUGCAGGAACCUGAUGCAGGACUCGAUCCCAGGACCCUGGGAUCAUGCCCUGAGCCAAAGCCUGAUGCUCAACCACUGAGCCACCCAGGUGCCCCAAAUCUAGGUUUCUUGGGGAAAAAAACAUCCUGUUUGCUCUUUGGAGCCCAAGCCCAGUGGGCCAUAUUUAGCUUACAACCUAUUUUUGUAAGUAAAGCUUUAUUGGAAGACAGCUGCUGCCAUUGACCUACAUCUUCUCUAUCGCUGCUUUACUACCACGACAGCCGGGUUGAGUAGGUCAGACGGAAGCCGUCUGGCCGGCAAGGACUGAAAUACUUUCUGGCCCUUUACAGCAAGUUUGCUGAGCCCUGUGUUGAGAUACAUGUACUUCUGUAACAGAGUGGGGAAAAUCGCAUCUGCCAGUCUUGUUGUCUCAUGCACCUUCCACCUCGGAUGGUCCCCUGGCGGCACCAGCAGGGGCUUAGCUGCGGGUCACAGGCUUUUUGCUGCCACAGUCGUGGGAGCUCGUCCUAUAAGAUCUCAGGGGCCCUAGACUGUUGGGGCAGUUGAAGUCUCCCACCUUAAGGCAGUGGACCCUAGUAGGACCCAGGAAAGCUGGCACUGCCACAAGCAGAAUCAAGGCGGACUGAACCCCUUUGAGGGACCUCGGUUUCUUGGUGUCUCCUGAAUUCUGCUUCCACACAACC